GUGUCAGCAGCCGCGGUAAUACGAACCGUCCAAACGUUAUUCGGAAUCACUGGGCUUAAAGGGUGCGUAGGCGGCCCGGGAAGUUGGGUGUGAAAUCCCUCGGCUUAACCGAGGAAUAGCGCUCAAAACUGCCGGGCUUGAGGGAGACAGAGGUGAGCGGAACUUAGGGUGGAGCGGUGAAAUGCGUUGAUAUCCUAAGGAACACCGGGGGCGAAAGCGGCUCACUGGGUCUUUUCUGACGCUGAGGCACGAAAGCUAGGGGAGCGAACGGGAUUAGAUACCCCGGUAGUCCUAGCCCUAAACGAUGAGCACUAGAUCGGAGAACAUCCCAUAGUUUUCUGGUCGUAGCAAAAGCGUUAAGUGCUCCGCCUGGGGAGUAUGGUCGCAAGGCUGAAACUUAAAUGAAUUGACGGGG
Molecule: ribosomal RNA, 415 nt
Filed under: uncultured prokaryote
Description: bacterial SSU rRNA
Rfam family: Bacterial small subunit ribosomal RNA
Source: RNAcentral